Molecule: ribosomal RNA, 343 nt
Filed under: uncultured bacterium
Lineage: Bacteria
Description: SSU rRNA
Rfam family: Bacterial small subunit ribosomal RNA
Source: RNAcentral
CGUAGCGAAAGUUACGCUAAUACCGCAUAUGCCCUGAGGGGGAAAGGAGGGGAUCGCAAGACCUUUCGCUUUCGGAGUGGCCGAUAUCAGAUUAGCUAGUUGGUGGGGUAAAGGCCCACCAAGGCGACGAUCUGUAGCGGGUCUGAGAGGAUGAUCCGCCACACUGGGACUGAGACACGGCCCAGACUCCUACGGGAGGCAGCAGUGGGGAAUUUUGGACAAUGGGCGCAAGCCUGAUCCAGCCAUGCCGCGUGAGUGAAGAAGGCCUUCGGGUUGUAAAGCUCUUUCGGACAGAAAGAAAUCGCACUUACCAAUACUAAGUGUGGAUGACGGUACUGUAAGA